This 492-nucleotide ribosomal RNA is filed under the name Podon intermedius. Its description in RNAcentral is "partial 16S ribosomal RNA". It matches the Rfam family "Bacterial large subunit ribosomal RNA", at positions 1796 to 2509 of the family's 2925-position model. The record is from RNAcentral. Lineage: Eukaryota; Metazoa; Arthropoda; Branchiopoda; Diplostraca; Podonidae.
UCGCCUGUUUAUCAAAAACAUCUCCUCUUGAAAAGUAAGAGGUACUGCCUGCUCAAUGCGUAUUAUGUAAAUGGCCGCGGUAUUCUGACCGUGCUAAGGUAGCAUAAUCAUUUGUCUCUUGAUUAGAGGCUGGUAUGAAUGGCAAGACGAGAAGGUGACUGUCUCUUUUAUGACACUUGAAUUUCACUUCUGGGUGAAAAGGCCCAGAUAAAUUUAAAGGACGAUCAGACCCUAUAGAGCUUAAAUUUCUUGAGUUAUUGUUUUAGUUGAAGUAAUAAGGGGUAAAUUCAAGAGAUUUUGGUUGGGGCGACAAAGAGAAUAAAAUAACACUCUUUUUAAUUACCACUAAUAAGUGAAUAGUUGAUCCUCAAUGAGGGAUUAAAAGAUUAAGUUACCUUAGGGAUAACAGCCUAAUAUUAAAAAAAAAUACUAGAUCUGAGUUCAGACCCGACCCCGCCCGUUAUCAAAAACAUAUACGUGAUAUGAGUCAGA